Molecule: ribosomal RNA, 514 nt
Filed under: uncultured bacterium
Lineage: Bacteria
Description: bacterial SSU rRNA
Rfam family: Bacterial small subunit ribosomal RNA
Source: RNAcentral
CAUGGCUCAGGAUGAACGCUGGCGGCAGGCUUAAUACAUGCAAGUCGAGCGGUAAGGCCGAGCGUAGCAAUACGCGAGGUACACGAGUGGCGCGACGGGUGCGUAACGCGUAUGCAACCUGCCCCUGACCGGGACAAAACAGCUGGAAACGGCUGCUAAUAUCCUAUGGUUACCGAGGAGGGCAUCCUCCUUUGUAUAAAGAUUCAUUGGUCGGGGAUGGGCAUGCGUAUUAUUAGGUAGUUGGUGGGGUAACGGCCCACCAAGCCGACGAUGAUUAGGGGUUCUGAGAGGAUUAACCCCCACACUGGAACUGAGACACGGUCCAGACUCCUACGGGAGGCAGCAGUAGGGAAUAUUGGGUAAUGGAGGCAACUCUGACCCAGCCAUGCCCGCGUGAAGGAAGACGGCCCUAGUGGGUUGUAAACUUCUUUUAUCGUGGAGUAAACCCGGUCACGUGUGGCCGGUUGAGAGUACACGAGGAAUAAGUAUCGGCUAACUCCGUGCCAGCCGCUGC